GGGUGAGGCAAAGGUGUCCACUGGAAACAGAGACCUUGAACAGCUGACCGCUGCUGUGAAACUAGUAAAAGAAAAGCAGGAUCUCCAACUAUCUGAGCACAGUGAUAUUCAGAAAAAUGUCGUUCAACAGCAUCUCAAUUCUGACAGAUCUCAGUGGUGCACCACAGGAUCCCUUGGCAGUUGUCUGAGAUGAGAUGAUCACACUAGGUGAGACCCAUUAUAGACUGAGGAGAAAGUGAAUACAGAGAAGAGCAAGAUCUUUGAAGUCUCUGUGCUGAAUUCUGCAUGUGUGCAUAUUACUUCUUCUAUGGACUAUGAUCUAUGGCCAGAGCUAUGGAGUGUGACAAUGGUGUUUGUGUCCAAUCUAUCAAACGCCAUUAUCACACUAAAUAGCUACUGGUAGAUGAGACAUCAAUUCAGAAACGUAUGUGAAUUGUGGUAAUACAUUUUCCCACUGUACUGAGGAAUAAAUGAGCUUUUUACAUGUCA
This is a long non-coding RNA of Centrocercus urophasianus (Greater sage-grouse), 489 nucleotides long. RefSeq lists it as uncharacterized. The record is from RefSeq and is a predicted model, not a curated record. Lineage: Eukaryota; Metazoa; Chordata; Aves; Galliformes; Phasianidae. The transcript is spliced from 3 exons.